Alexandromys fortis (reed vole) is the source of this 410-nucleotide long non-coding RNA. RefSeq lists it as uncharacterized. NCBI's taxonomy places the organism in Eukaryota, Metazoa, Chordata, Mammalia, Rodentia, Cricetidae. The transcript is spliced from 3 exons. The record is from RefSeq and is a predicted model, not a curated record.
CUUCUGUCUUCCUCUCUGCAUCCCAAGAAGUUGACACUGGAGGAGACACCUUCCCUGAGUUUAAGCAUCUGACUGAGCUGCUCAGAAAGGUUACAGUUCAAGCAGUAAAGCCAUCUUUCCUCUCUACAUUCCAAAACCUGACAAUGGAGGAGAACCCAUCCCUGAGUUUAUGAAUUACACAUAUUCACGGCAAGCAGCAAGGAGAUCCGGUCCAGGCACCAGGAGAGACAUCACUGGGAACCUUCAUCUGGUGAUGGAUGGAGAUAGAGACAGAGACCCACACUGGAGCACUGGACUGAGCUCCCAAGGUCCCAAUGAGAAGCAGAUGGAGGGAGAACACGAGCAAGGAUGUCAGGACCACGGGGGGUGCACCCACCCACUGAGACAGUGGGGCUGAUCUAUUGGGAGCU